Molecule: transfer RNA, 76 nt
Filed under: Halobacillus locisalis
Lineage: Bacteria; Bacillati; Bacillota; Bacilli; Caryophanales; Bacillaceae
Description: tRNA-His
Rfam family: tRNA
About the family: Transfer RNA (tRNA) molecules are approximately 80 nucleotides in length. Their secondary structure includes four short double-helical elements and three loops (D, anti-codon, and T loops).
Source: RNAcentral
GCGGUUGUGGCGAAGUGGUUAACGCACCUGAUUGUGGUUCAGGCAUUCGUGGGUUCGAUCCCCAUCAUCCGCCCCA